RNAcentral lists this ribosomal RNA (1194 nucleotides) under Vreelandella aquamarina. RNAcentral describes it as "bacterial SSU rRNA". It matches the Rfam family "Bacterial small subunit ribosomal RNA", at positions 75 to 1269 of the family's 1533-position model. Lineage: Bacteria; Pseudomonadati; Pseudomonadota; Gammaproteobacteria; Oceanospirillales; Halomonadaceae. The record is from RNAcentral.
CUUGCUGCGAUGCUGACGAGCGGCGGACGGGUGAGUAAUGCAUAGGAAUCUGCCCGAUAGUGGGGGAUAACCUGGGGAAACCCAGGCUAAUACCGCAUACGUCCUACGGGAGAAAGGGGGCUCCCGCUCCCGCUUUGGGAUGAGCCUAUGUCUGAUUAGCUUGUUGGUGAGGUAACGGCUCACCAAGGCCACGAUCCGUAUCUGGUCUGAGAGGAUGAUCAUCCUCAUCGGGACUGAGACACGGCCCGAACUCCUACUCCAGGCAGCGGUGGGGAAUAUUGGACAAUGGGGGAGACCCUGAUCCUGCCAUGCCGCGUGUGUGAAGAAGGCCCUCGGGUUGUAAAGCACUUUCACCGAGGAAGAACGCCUAACGGUUAAUACCCGCUAGGAAAGACAUCACUCGCAGAAGAAGCACCGGCUAACUCCGUGCCAGCAGCCGCGGUAAUACGGAGGGUGCAAGCGUUAAUCGGAAUUACUGGGCGUAAAGCGCGCGUAGGUGGCUUGAUAAUCCGGUUGUGAAAGCCCCGGGCUCAACCUGGGAACGGCAUCCGGAACUGUCAAGCUAGAGUGCAGGAGAGGAAGGUAGAAUUCCCGGUGUAGCGGUGAAAUGCGUAGAGAUCGGGAGGAAUACCAGUGGCGAAGGCGGGCCUUCUGGACUGACACUGACACUGAGGUGCGAAAGCGUGGGUAGCAAACAGGAUUAGAUACCCUGGUAGUCCACGCGGUAAACGAUGUCAGACUCAGCCGUUGGGUGCCUAGCGCACUAUGUGGCGAAGUUAACGCGAUAAGUCGACCGCCUGGGGAGUACGGCCGCAAGGUUAAAACUCAAAUGAAUUGACGGGGGCCCGCACAAGCGGUGGAGCAUGUGGUUUAAUUCGAUGCAACGCGAAGAACCUUACUUACUCUUGACAUCAUGCGAAUUUGGUAGAGAUACCUUAGUCCCUUCGGGAAUGCAGAGACAGGUGCUGCAUGGCUGUCUUCAGCUCGUGUUGUGAAAUGUUGGGUUAAGUCCCGUAACGAGCGCAACCCUUGUCCUUAUUUGCCAGCGUGUAAUGGCGGGAACUCUAAGGAGACUGCCGGUGACAAACCGGAGGAAGGUGGGGGAGAUGUCAAGUCAUCAUGGCCCUUACGAGUAGGGCUACACACGUGCUACAAUGGUCGGUACAAAGGGUUGCCAACUCGCGAGAGUGAGCC